Molecule: ribosomal RNA, 253 nt
Filed under: uncultured bacterium
Lineage: Bacteria
Description: partial 16S ribosomal RNA
Rfam family: Bacterial small subunit ribosomal RNA
Source: RNAcentral
UACGAAGGGCCCAAGCGUUGUUCGGAAUCACUGGGCGUAAAGGGAGCGUAGGCGGCGAGGUAAGUCAGAUGUGAAAUCCCGGGGCUCAACCCCGAAACUGCAUCCGAUACUGCCAUGCUAGAGUGAUGGAGAGGUAGCUGGAAUUCUUGGUGUAGCAGUGAAAUGCGUGGAGAUCAAGAGGAACACUCGUGGCGAAAGCGAGCUACUGGACAGUUACUGACGCUGAGGCUCGAAGGCCAGGGUAGCGAAAGGG